Molecule: small nucleolar RNA, 88 nt
Organism: Lotus japonicus
Lineage: Eukaryota; Viridiplantae; Streptophyta; Magnoliopsida; Fabales; Fabaceae
Product: small nucleolar RNA R16
Exons: 1
Source: RefSeq, a predicted model, not a curated record
GUUGGCAAAUGAUGUUCAAAAUAUCUUAUCCUACACACUGAUUUAAUUCUGUGAAGAUCAAUAUCUCCGCUUAUUAUCUGAUGCCUCC